Aphis gossypii (cotton aphid) is the source of this 2378-nucleotide long non-coding RNA. RefSeq lists it as uncharacterized. Lineage: Eukaryota; Metazoa; Arthropoda; Insecta; Hemiptera; Aphididae. The transcript has 7 exons. The record is from RefSeq and is a predicted model, not a curated record.
UACACAAUACGCAUAAUAUAUUAUGUAUAUUGCAGUGUAAGUAUGACAUCAUCGUGGUAAUUAUUCAAUGACACAAUAUACAAUAUCCGUGCCGCGUUACGAUAUCAAAUGUAUAAUGAUAUAUUAUAUAUUAAAUUAUUAUAUUAAUAUAGUAUUAUUACUAAUAUUCUUUAUUACGAUUAAUCGAGUCGACAGCCUUAUCUAGUCAGUCGUCAUAUCCGCGGAUUCUGUCGGUGUUCGGGUGUUCAGACUUUCAGAGGGAAAUUCAAAAAUUAUCUUAAAAUGGUCAAGGGCACUGCGUCGAUUGGACAGGACUAACCAAUCGCGCGAGCGGGUGUAUGCGGCACACACGGUCGUGGGCGGAGGGUAGUUUUUGAACAUUUAACGGCAUAAUCAUCAGCGUAUAUUAUUAUCAGACGUUCAACACUUACCUUAUCAUCAGGUUUUCCAUGAAUCUCUCGAUUGUGAUCUCGUCCAGUAGAACGAAAUCCACAAUUCCCGGUUCAUCUCGGGUGGCCAUGGUAAUAUAUUAUUAUUAUCUUCUCGAUCGGCAACGGGAUGCUGUGUCGAUGUGUAAAGAUUAUAUUAUGUAAGAAUUGAUAUUAAACAGACAAUGUCGCGAGUUCGAGAAACGACCGCGCGAAUUGAUAUCGGUUGUCGGCACAGAAUAGUUACACGACACUAUAUAAUACACUAAUACCUACUACACUACUAUAGACUAUAGUACUACUGCUAGUAGUUAGUACUGCUGUCUGCUAGUUACUACAAUUAUAGUCGUACACACGGCGACUGGAAACUGUGGGAAGUGGAAGAGGCAACCGCGAUAUUGUGGGUGGUGGUGACAGUGCGUCCGAGACGGCAGACGCGAAAUUAUCGUUAGCCGCAUCAUUUGAUUUGUUAGUUGUUACAGUGUCAUAUUAUUAUGUAUCGUGGUCCUCGCCGAUACCAUAAUAAUAUAUACCAUUAUUACCGUACUUGGCAUUUUAUUAUUUUAAUCUCUUUUCUAUGAUUUUGGGGUUCCGAAAAUCGAAGGUGUAGGUAGUGACUAGUGAAGGUACCUAUUACCCGUGACGACACAGACACGGUCAUCGCCUAUUAUAGUUUGACUUUUGGUGUGCGAUUCACAAGCACUCAUAACGAAUUAACAACUAGGGACGUAUAACAUCGGGAACCAAGAAAUAUACAACCAGCUGCAGACGGCAAUAAAGUUUUUGUUUUUCGUUCUAGCCGAUUUACCACCCAGUGAGCAACUACAAUAAUGGAAAACGUAAUUUAUAUUUCGCUACAGGCACGCAACGUGUCAUUUGUUAUUAUUAUUAAGUUAUUAUUAUUAUUAAGAGAGCAGCUGCCGUAUUUAGAGAAUACAAAAUAUAAAACAGUAAACCACGUCUUAGAAGAUUGUAAAGAUUGUUAAUUAAAAAAAAAAAAAAUUCGCGGCAAUCGUUCAGUAAGUACCUACAUAAUAUUAUUACAAUCGAUUCAACAGUUACACAGUUUUUUCGAUUAUCGUCGUGUAAACACGGGAGUGUGUACUUGUCCCGGUAAUUAUUACAAGUUGACAAUUUUAUUAUUGACCUAUGACUUACCUUUGGCAAAGAAGUGAUAAUAAUUCGUUUCGAAGAAUCGAUAAGAACAAUAUUCCAAGAAUUUCCCGGAAGAAUACCGCAAUCAUAUGAAUAUCAACCUCUCAAUCAGAAAUCAGUAUCUUAUUUAACCAAAACACAGUUGAUGACAAUUAUUUUAUUCCGUUGAUAUGCAUGUAACUGCCAGUUUGUAUUUUUGUAUUCAAAACAUAAAACAUGUGUACAUAUGAAAAUCGAGGGAUGAGCUUUCGUAAAUUAUGAAUGAAAAGACUCACAGCUAUUAAUAGUUUUGCCAGUAGAGUGCAGUACCUAAUGCAAGACUAUAGGUAUACCCUGCAAAAUAUUAGUUCACUAUUCUACUCUACACUAAAAAAUAAGUACAAGACCGUAUCUGAAGAAUGGCCAAGCCUUUAAGGGGUCUGGAUUCCCCCAAAAUUUCUUCAUUAUUUUACAAAUAUUCAAAAUAACUAUUUUUAAUUCCAACAUAAAUAUUUAGUCAUAUUGUCAUAGAUAUAAAUGAAUUAAACUCCAAUUAGAUUAAAUUAACUAUUGACUGUUUUUACAUUAUCACCGGGAUUAUCACCAUUUUGUAUCAUAAUAUAUUACAAUAUUGUUAUAGCGUCUAAUAAUAUACUGUAAUUAAUGAACAACCGCUGUCAAUGCCGGUUAGAGACGACAAUAUUAAAUUAAUUGUGUAGGACGUAGGUUAUAAAACAUAAAUAUUAUUAUGAGUUAUGACUAGGGCCUAGGACUUACUAAGGGAGUAUUUAGAUUUAAAGAAUCUAAAAACUUCAU